This 203-nucleotide long non-coding RNA is filed under the name Elaeis guineensis (African oil palm). RNAcentral's name for it is "long non-coding RNA (EGUI_LNC044906)". The record is from RNAcentral. Lineage: Eukaryota; Viridiplantae; Streptophyta; Magnoliopsida; Arecales; Arecaceae.
GAUGCUAUAGUGGUGUGAGUAGUUCUUAGACUUGCAGUACCCAACUACUCGCAGUAUGGUUGCUAUAGUUUGUUUGACUACACAUAAACAUGAUCCCUAGCCAUAUGAAUCCUUAUAGUGGAUGUUGAAUGCAGUAGGUUCACUGAAGGAGUAGGGUGCGUACCUAGAUGGGAUCUAUCGACUUUGAUAGAUAGGGAGUGGUC